This 491-nucleotide ribosomal RNA is filed under the name uncultured bacterium. Its description in RNAcentral is "partial 16S ribosomal RNA". It matches the Rfam family "Bacterial small subunit ribosomal RNA", at positions 29 to 506 of the family's 1533-position model. The record is from RNAcentral.
AGUGAACGCUGGCGGUAGGCCUAACACAUGCAAGUCGAACGGCAGCACAGUAAGAGCUUGCUCUUACGGGUGGCGAGUGGCGGACGGGUGAGGAAUACAUCGGAAUCUACUUUUUCGUGGGGGAUAACGUAGGGAAACUUACGCUAAUACCGCAUACGACCUACGGGUGAAAGCAGGGGAUCUUCGGACCUUGCGCGAUUGAAUGAGCCGAUGUCGGAUUAGCUAGUUGGCGGGGUAAAGGCCCACCAAGGCGACGAUCCGUAGCUGGUCUGAGAGGAUGAUCAGCCACACUGAAACGGAGACACGGUCCAGACUCCUACGGGAGGCAGAAGUGGGGAAUAUUGGACAAUGGGCGCAAGCCUGAUCCAGCCAUACCGCGUGGGUGAAGAAGGCCUUCGGGUUGUAAAGCCCUUUUGUUGGGAAAGAAAAGCAGCAGGUUAAUACCCCGCUGUUCUGACGGAACCCAAAGAAUAAGCACCGGCUAACUUGGU